CAAUAGCGUAUAUUAAAGUUGUUGCAGUUAAAAAGCUCGUAGUUGGAUUUCUGAUCGAGACAUCAGGUCGGGUCCGAGAGGAUCAUGUACUUUGAUUUUGUUUUGAUCAUCCUUGGGGAGAGCAUUUCUGGCAUUCAGUUGUCGGGAUUGGGAUCCUCAUCGUUUACUGUGAAAAAAUUAGAGUGUUCAAAGCAGGCCUCGGCCUCUGAAUACAUUAGCAUGGAAUAAUAAGAUAGGACUUUGGUGGUCUAUUUUGUUGGUUUGCACGCCAAAGUAAUGAUUAAUAGGGAUAGUUGGGGGUAUUCGUAUUCAAUUGUCAGAGGUGAAAUUCUUGGAUCUAUGGAAGACGAACUACUGCGAAAGCAUUUACCAAGGAUGUUUUCAUUAA
Molecule: ribosomal RNA, 388 nt
Filed under: uncultured eukaryote
Lineage: Eukaryota
Description: partial 18S ribosomal RNA
Rfam family: Eukaryotic small subunit ribosomal RNA
Source: RNAcentral